UAGUAUAAGUUGCAGCGAAUGUUGCUCU
Molecule: small RNA, 28 nt
Filed under: Bombyx mori (domestic silkworm)
Lineage: Eukaryota; Metazoa; Arthropoda; Insecta; Lepidoptera; Bombycidae
Description: ovarian small RNA-22936
Source: RNAcentral